AUACUUACCUGGCAGAGGAAAGGCCAUGAUCAAGAUGAUGGUUUUCCCAGGGUGAGAUUUAUACAUUGCAUUUAGGAUUUGUUGACCCCUGCAAUUUCCCCAAACAUGGGAAAUUUGGCUGCAUGAUUUGUGGUAGUAGGGGACUAAGUAUACACUUUCCCCUG
Erinaceus europaeus (western European hedgehog) is the source of this 164-nucleotide small nuclear RNA. Its record names the gene U1. It matches the Rfam family "U1 spliceosomal RNA". From Rfam's summary of the family: U1 is a small nuclear RNA (snRNA) component of the spliceosome (involved in pre-mRNA splicing). The record is from Ensembl. NCBI's taxonomy places the organism in Eukaryota, Metazoa, Chordata, Mammalia, Eulipotyphla, Erinaceidae.